CAAAGAAGAGCUGCUCUACAGCCACAGACUCUGGUCAGGAGAAGAGAUUUUCCAGUGCCCACUCCCCUGGGUUCAGUCUGUGAAGCUGCAAAAAUGGCAGACUGGAAGACUCGGAUGGCUUUCAUCAAUCUGAAUCUCUCAGUAUUCAACAGGUGAAAACCUAUUUUCAGAACUGAAGGAGGAAGUUUAGGAAAAGCAGCACAUGAUGUAGAGAAAUUUCAGCACUGUGGCUCGACAGGAG
Molecule: long non-coding RNA, 241 nt
Organism: Pelmatolapia mariae (spotted tilapia)
Lineage: Eukaryota; Metazoa; Chordata; Actinopteri; Cichliformes; Cichlidae
Exons: 3
Source: RefSeq, a predicted model, not a curated record